Molecule: long non-coding RNA, 1576 nt
Organism: Mauremys reevesii (Reeves's turtle)
Lineage: Eukaryota; Metazoa; Chordata; Testudines; Geoemydidae
Exons: 2
Source: RefSeq, a predicted model, not a curated record
CCCUGCAAUUGCUUUCUGGGACAAGAGCAGAAACCCCAAGGCACAAUAAGCCGUGACAACAUAGUCUGAGUAGAGAAGGCUGGAAAGCCACCACAAGAGUUGUAAACAUUUUCAGGAUAGAGCAGCCACUGGGAUGAAACAGGCUUUGGUUGUGCAUGUGGGAAGAAAGGCAGGAUCUGGACUUCCAUGGAGAGAGCCAUGAGGGGUGCUCAUUAAGAAACAAAGUAAGGGACACUAGAAGGGGGAUGAGAAUGCAAGCCCAAGGAAAGAAGAAGUUCAGAAGUUUGCUAGGGAAAAUCCAGGAGAGAGCCCUGAGUGUCCUGGCCCUGAAAGAAGUGUUAACCUAGAGCAGUUAUAGUGAAGAGGGGCUGCUCAGAAAAACAGUGGCAGGGAGUUGGACUGAGCACACUGUGGCUGCUGUUCAUAGAGUCCUGGGCUGGAAACUGAUGUAGUAAGAGGGCCAGGUUCGCCUAACAGCUAUGGAGGUGUGAGGCUGGAGAAAGUGACAAGGACAGUGGAGAACCCUGAGGAAAGGGAGGUGGGGCACUGUGGACAAGAGUUGGGCCAAAGGCCAGAUAUAAGGUCUUAGAUAUUGCUGUGUUGGACUUUGUUUACCCCAGAAGGGGUGGACUAAAUCAUGACCUGACCAGAGGGCUGAGUUGCAGAAAGAGGCAGAGGACCAGGGAGGAAGAGAGCUGUUAUGCUAUGCCUGGCUACAAGGAGACACUCUAGUGGCUCAACCAAGGAAAGACAAGGCAUCUCAGCACGUCUCUGCCUACUCUUGCCAGUACUCACUAGUGAACCAGCAGUGCCUUUUUUGUGUUCUGAACUAUGAUAUGGCGAUAUGGACUGAAGGUUAUUGAUGAUGGAUUCAACAUCAUUAGCCUGGAUGGCUGAACUUUAUAUGUUUGAGAUUAUCACACCCAAGAAAUUGUACUGGAUUUGAAUGUCAUGUAUGGGGGAUUUAAAAGUUCACAAACCAGUCAGGACUCUGUUCGGAAAGUAGAUCAUAAAGGCUUGGUAAUCCCCUCUGUUUCAACCUCUAGCAUCUGGCUCAGAUAUGUGACACAUAAUGGAAAUGGAAUAAUGAACACAGAUUUUAAAAUAGAUUUAAGAACUUUUUUCCACUUCAAGCUCUUUUCCUUUUUGGACUGUUUCAGGAUUAGCACAGAUUCUAUUGUUAAUAGACACUAAUAAUAAACUCAGUAAUAGGACCUGGAAGCCUUAUUGCAUAGCAGAUGCUAGGAACUCAUUAUCGGACCCUCCAAAAUGACUCUCAAAUCCAUAUUUUCAUUUCUGUUUCAGCUGUUUUGAAGAUGACCUGGGAUUAACAGAAAUGAAUAUGGUAUUCUAAGGAAGAGCAGAGCAUUGAUCUGCAUAAAAGUGAUGGCAUUAUAUUUUCUCUUCCAUAUGUGUGCAUCCUAACAUUUACUUUGCUUUUGGGAUGGCCGCUACAUGCUGAGCUGUCCCCAGGUCUUUCAUGAGAGUUUGCAAUUAAUUUAGAACCCAACAAAAUGUAUAUGUAAUUCAAAUUAUUUCACCCAAUGCAUGAUAAAUUCACUGUUAAGAAAAGAAA